RNAcentral lists this long non-coding RNA (1216 nucleotides) under Setaria italica (foxtail millet). Its description in RNAcentral is "long non-coding RNA (SITA_LNC002722)". Lineage: Eukaryota; Viridiplantae; Streptophyta; Magnoliopsida; Poales; Poaceae. The record is from RNAcentral.
AUAACCUCACAAGGCUGGGUGCUUAUCAACCCAACAUUGAAGUGAUGACUUUUGAACCAUACUAAGUAAGCCCACAGCCUGGAUCGAGCGAUUAGCAUAAUUUGAAAGGUGCAUUACAUUUGCAUGAACGCACACAGACGGUUCUUGCAUACGAGCAAAGUCCACAUUACAGCCCUGAACUCGUCAAUGUGUCUAACUACCGAAUUCCCACAGUUUAUUUGGGUGGCAGCAGGAAAAGAAUGGAGACGGCCAUCCAGCAUCCUUCCUCUCCUGUUCAGAGUUCAGAGGAAGGACGCACCUCAACUAACCUAGCUCAGUAUCAUCCGCAUAGCCCAGGGAGCUGUCUGCAGGCGAGAUCAAUCUCUUCCUCCGUCAUUUCUAUCGUGUCAUCACUGUCGUAAUGAUCAUCACUCGAUUUUGUCUUCCUGCGGUGCUCUGUUACCGGCGAGCUGCUUUGACGCUUCUUCCCCUUCUUGUUGUCGCUGUCCAUGCGCACGAACUCGGCCUGAUAAAUCUUCUUACAUUUGAUUGCUAAUUGCGAGAGUUGUUCUUUAGGCAAUGAUGCAUCUUUUCCGCUUCCAUCCAGUUUCAGCAGUUCGUUGACAACAUGGGGGACGAAGCUCCACUGCUCCGCCACUCCUUUGAUGUCCUGAAAACAGGUUUAUCAUGGUCACUCCUUCGGUAAGAAAAAUAACAAACUAAUAUGGAGAAGAUAUUUCUCUGCUGGAUUUGACUAUUCACUCAAGCUAUUCAGGAUCUUAAUGGAAGUAUAAUCACAGUGACAAUUAACCCAGAUCAUGAGUGGCCACCUAGAGCAUAGGCAAGUAUUUCUAUUUUGAUCUUUCAAGAUAAGUACUUAAGACCAGUGCCUCACUCUACAUGCAUUCCAAUAUAAAUCAGUCAUACAUAGCACAAUAUUUGAUGAUCAGUAGUAGAUAAUCAAUGCAAAUGCAUGCACUUCAUAGAUGAAAAAGGAGAUAUUGCAGUGCUUACAUUGCCUUGCUCGAGGGAUUCUAUGGCAUCUUGCAGACAAGUAAUAACCCCUUCAGCAGCUAUUGCCUUCAGUUCACUUGGCUCUGGCUAUCAGGAAGAAGCAAGAGAUAGACAAGUCAGUCAGCAAAACAAGCUUUAGAUUUAUCUGUUAAAAGAAACCUUGGGCAAGCAGACAAAGAUGUACAACAUAAAUAGAUGCAGUUUUUUCACUAGGCACACCCAC